GUGGGGAAUAUUGGACAAUGGGGGGAACCCUGAUCCAGCCAUGCCGCGUGUGUGAAGAAGGCCUUUUGGUUGUAAAGCACUUUAAGCGAGGAGGAGGCUACCGAGAUUAAUACUCUUGGAUAGUGGACGUUACUCGCAGAAUAAGCACCGGCUAACUCUGUGCCAGCAGCCGCGGUAAUACAGAGGGUGCAAGCGUUAAUCGGAUUUACUGGGCGUAAAGCGCGCGUAGGUGGCCAAUUAAGUCAAAUGUGAAAUCCCCGAGCUUAACUGUGGAAUUGCAUUCGAUACUGGUUGGCUAGAGUAUGGGAGAGGAUGGGAGAAGUCCAGGUGUAGCGGUGAAAUGCGUAGAGAUCUGGAGGAAUACCGAUGGCGAAGGCAGCCAUCUGGCCUAAUACUGACACUGAGGUGCGAAAGCGUGGGGAGCAAACAGGAUUAGAUACCCGUGUAGUCC
This 451-nucleotide ribosomal RNA is filed under the name uncultured bacterium. Its description in RNAcentral is "partial 16S ribosomal RNA". It matches the Rfam family "Bacterial small subunit ribosomal RNA", at positions 354 to 796 of the family's 1533-position model. The record is from RNAcentral.